UGAUAUGGGAAACCACAGCAAAUUUUGAUCAGAAGAGUAAUAUCAACUAACUCCACUUGGACCGCAUGGAAACGAGGAAGGAGAAUACUACAGCAACCUGGAAGCCAGUGAAAAAUGAUGGCAACACUAUCUAAGAUGGUAAAAAAUUGACGAAGAAAAGCUCAUUUCGAACUGUUGAGGAGAGAAAUGUAUUUGCAGAGAGAGCAUGAAAAAUCAUGAACCACUCCAUGGGUUUUGCCUUGUGCAAGUGGAAGCAAGGGAAGAAGAUAAAGAGAUGUUUUUAUGGGGCUUCUCUACUUAACACAAUCCUGAGAUUUAACACAGGAUGGAAAAGAAGGCAUUAUAAAAUUUCAGUAAGGACUGUGACCUCUAGAGAGCAGAGGCUGUAUCUUUUUCAUUUGCAUAUUCUGAGCAUCUAUUACAAUGCUUCAUACAUAUAUAGUGUCUCACUACAUAUUAAUAUUUAUUGUUCAAUAAAUGAAUCCAUGAACUCAUUUUAUGUGAAACUAUGGAAAGUAGGACAAUCUCUCCUACAAGAAAUAUUGGUGGGAUCUUGCCAUGUUGUUCAGGCUGGCCUUGAAUUACUGGACUCGAGUGAUCCUCCAACCUCGGCCUCCUGAGUACAUAUUCCCUGGUCUAUAGAUGAAGAAAUGAAGGUUCAAGAAUACUGGACAUCUGGACUAAUUAAAUGACAACUAAAUGGCAGAAAUGGUAUUUAAGCUCAGGCCUAGCAGAUGCAAAGUCAUGGGCACAUGUCAAGAAAGACGAGAUAUAUCAUUUUUUCCCACAUAGAUCCUGGAUUAUUACUAUCCUUCGAAUUUAUUUCUAUAAUCUCUAAGUCAGGUGGAACAGAGCUAUAAUUUAUUAGAGUGAAACUUUGGAGGUGCAUACAGUAGUCACAUUAUUAUGUUCAUCUCCUACAGGAACAACUUUUGAUUUCAUUUCAUUACAUUGAAAGGUAACUUCAAAUAUGAAAGGAGCCUUUAAUGUUAUAAAUAUGACCAUGAUGAUAAUCAUCACUAUCAUCAUCUAAGGUACUCACAAUCAAUAAUAAGCCUAUACACUUAGAGGUCCAAAUUGAAAUUAAAAAAGGAAGACAAGAUCUAAACUUCAGGCAAGCUGAUGAGAAAGCCUGCUUGCUUCUUCCUUCAUUUGGACAGGAAGGUCAAACCAUGUAGGAACCGUCAUCCCAGCUGCAAUCCCUGACCAUAGAAACCCCAAGCCAGUUUUCUUUCCUUGUUUCUCGAGUCAUCUUUGGACUUGCUUGAGAUUUGCCUUGUUCUCCCAGAAAAGCUCAUUAUGGGAGCAAUAAACCUUUCCAUUUCCUCUUGAGUGGAGAUUUGCUGAAUAAUUAAUAUCCUAAGGAAUGGAGUAAAUGCUGUGUAAAAGUGUAGGCUCAUAAGGUGGACAAGAGGAAAAAAGAAUUGGUAUUUAACUUAGGAUCUGAAGAGCAAAGAAUAUUUUAGGCUGAAGAAAUAAUGGCAAAAGAUGGGUAAAGAAGAAUACAAGUAGAUUUUGGGAUGUGUCUGCAAAUGCAAGUGUGGAAUACAUAGAAGAACACUAAAUAGGAAUCAACAGAAAGGAAGGAUGCAGAGACCAAGAGAAAGUACUGCCUUUUAUUUACAAGGUCAAGCUCCCAAGGACAUAAAACAAAAUGGAGAUAAACAGUGAUUUUUACCAUUCAUUUGACCAUUUGCACAGAGAGAGAGAAGCCAGAAAUCUGACUGGGUAAAUUUUUAGGGUUGGACAACCUCU
RNAcentral lists this long non-coding RNA (1755 nucleotides) under Homo sapiens (human). RNAcentral describes it as "long non-coding RNA NONHSAT149187.1". The record is from RNAcentral. Lineage: Eukaryota; Metazoa; Chordata; Mammalia; Primates; Hominidae.